Molecule: long non-coding RNA, 771 nt
Organism: Stegostoma tigrinum
Lineage: Eukaryota; Metazoa; Chordata; Chondrichthyes; Orectolobiformes; Stegostomatidae
Exons: 4
Source: RefSeq, a predicted model, not a curated record
AUAACCUGUCCCCCCUCCUCGGAGGUUGUCGAUGGUGAAACGUAUACUUGGAGGGGAGAGAGAGAAAAAAAAAGAUGUCGCCCGCUGGUAAAGCUGACGGUAUUUGACACAUGGAGAGAGUUCAAGACUGGCAUGUUCCAUCGAGGAAGAAAGAUGAGGAUGGCAAGGUGAUGCCAAAUUGCAGAGUUAGGGGGAGGAGAGCGGUCACCAGUGAAAAGGACUGUGACAAAUUACCAGGGGACAUUUUAUAAACUUGCAGAAUGGACAAAUAAAUGACUGGGAAGAUCGAGGCCACCUCUGUAAAAUAUCAUCACUGCGACAACGGGCAGAAUGAGGACCUCACUCCCACAGGGAGAGUUGGAUUGACCAGUUCGGGGGAAACUAAACAACUGUGUGAGGGAAAAGGAAAUUUGAGCACGUGUACUGAUGGUAAAUUUACAAAAUAAAAGGCUUGAGUAAAUCACAAACACCAGCAUGGACUGGCCUGUUUCUGAGUUUCAUAUACCACAUCAACUUACCAGGAAGUCGCCAGUAACCUCAGGCUGAUAGACAUUGUUGAAAGCACAUCUGCUAUGGUUACAGGAGCUAAAGUUAAAGAUGGAGUCGACAAACUCAUAACAUUGAUCUGUCUGUGAGGAGCCACUGAAGGUUAUGGUUUUCUCUGGUGAGUAAUCUUGAGGUUUCUCACUCGCGGUGCAUGAGCUAUUGUAUAUAAAAUUCAGUGGAUGAGAGACAGUAUAGCCCCGUGGCAUGCAGGGGUUAGUAAUAUUG